Molecule: small nuclear RNA, 165 nt
Organism: Eleginops maclovinus (Patagonian blennie)
Lineage: Eukaryota; Metazoa; Chordata; Actinopteri; Perciformes; Eleginopidae
Product: U1 spliceosomal RNA
Exons: 1
Source: RefSeq, a predicted model, not a curated record
AAACUUACCUGGCAAAGGAGAUUCCAUGAUCACGAAGGUGGAUCCCCUACAGCGAGGCGCGGCCGUUGCACUGACGGGCACGCUGAACUGUACGAGUUCCUCGGAUGUAGGAAUCUCGACUCCAAAAUAUGUGGUAGUGGGGGACUGCGUUCGCGCUCUCCCCUG